GAUGAACGCUGGCGGCGUGCCUAAUACAUGCAAGUCGAGCGAACAGACGAGGAGCUUGCUCCUCUGACGUUAGCGGCGGACGGGUGAGUAACACGUGGAUAACCUACCUAUAAGACUGGGAUAACUUCGGGAAACCGGAGCUAUUACCGGAUAAUAUAUUGAACCGCAUGGUUCAAUAGUGAAAGACGGUUUUGCUGUCACUUAUAGAUGGAUCCGCGCCGCAUUAGCUAGUUGGUAAGGUAACGGCUUACCAACGCAACGAUGCGUAGCCGACCUGAGAGGGUGAUCGGCCACACUAGAACUGAGACACGGUCCAGACUCCUACGGGAGGCAGCAGUAGGGAAUCUUCCGCAAUGGGCGAAAGCCUGACGGAGCAACGCCGCGUGAGUGAUGAAGGUCUUCGGAUCGUAAAACUCUGUUAUUAGGGAAGAACAAAUGUGUAAGUAACUAUGCACGUCUUGACGGUACCUAAUCAGAAAGCCACGGCUAACUACGUG
RNAcentral lists this ribosomal RNA (497 nucleotides) under uncultured bacterium. Its description in RNAcentral is "partial 16S ribosomal RNA". It matches the Rfam family "Bacterial small subunit ribosomal RNA", at positions 28 to 507 of the family's 1533-position model. The record is from RNAcentral.